GAGGCGGAGGUGGAGAUUGGGCGGAGGCAGGCAGAUUUCUUUGAGUUUGAGACCAGCCAGGGAUGCUGAGCGAGAUCUCUCAAGCAAAAAUAAGCAGCACAGGGAGGUUUAUUGCUUGCAGCAAGCAAGGAGCAAGCUGGGGACCAUUCAAAGCAGUGUCUCCCUAGACAUUCUGACUUUCUGGAUUUUUCUCUUUUCUUUCCGUGCUAGUACAGAAGAGACCUUCUGUGUGUAGGGUUCUCUCUGCAGCUGACUUUCCCUGCCCUCCCGUGCUUUCUGAUUCUGACAGGAUGACUCAGACCGGUAUGGGGAACUCAGGGGAACUCGGCUGGAAUCCACUUGCUCACUCCCAGCUCCAGAGAGAAGGAAGGAUCCCCUAGCACCCUAAGCUGACUGAGGGUUUGCCCCUUCCUCCUGUGGUCUCUUUCCCAAGAGUCCCAUCUUCUGGCUCCCAGAGCAACUCCCCUUUGAAAUGUCCUACCCCAUCCAAACCAUUUCUACUCUCUUAUGCUCGUCCUGCUUGACUGGGUCAAUUUCCAAGCAGCAAAAGCCAUGUCUUGAGGGGUGGGGAUUCCUGGAAAAGGUAACUUGGGUGGUUUUGCGUCUGAGUUUCCAUAUCCCAAACCCAUUCAAUGUUCUUGAUGGAUCCUGGGCUUAUCGCUUCCUGGAAACCACUGGUCGAGUGUGCUGCCUGCCACCGCCUUUACUCUGAAACACACCUCCAGGAGGAGGGGACAGCUGCAGUCUGCAGCUGGGAAUAAUAAAAGCUCAGUAGACUGGCACAACCU
RNAcentral lists this long non-coding RNA (788 nucleotides) under Mus pahari (shrew mouse). RNAcentral's name for it is "leucine rich repeat containing 75A, opposite strand 1 (MGP_PahariEiJ_G0002547.1)". The record is from RNAcentral. Lineage: Eukaryota; Metazoa; Chordata; Mammalia; Rodentia; Muridae.